AAAUCCCAAUGGUUAAUAACCUAAAAAUGUUUACAAUUGGAAAAGGACCUCGGUGCUACCACGGUACAACCGAGGUGCACUGUCUCAGGGCACUUUCCCCUUGGCUGGAGUGUUCAAGGCCAGUGGUCCCAUAUUUCACUGCUGAGCCCCCAGCUGAGGUCACAGAAGACAAUAGAGUGGUGGAACUGAAAUGUUUUAUACUGCUGUAUGUCAGAGACUCAACCCUAACCCUAUCCUAAUUCUGACCUAACCCAAACGUAACCAUAACCCUACCCCGAAGCCUAACUUAAACCUAACCUUAACCUAACUCUAAUGUAACCCUAACUUAACCCUAAAUGAACUCUAACCUAACCCUGAUGUAACCCUAACCUUAAACUAACAGUAGCUGCAGCCCUAACUCUAGCUAUAACCCUAACCAUAGCUCCAAAUCUAACUCUAGCUGUAACCCUACCUCUAGCCGUAACCCUAGCUCCAACCCUAACACUAACCCUAGCUCGAACCCUAACCCUAGCUGAAACCCUAACCGUAGAUCUAAACCUAACCCUAACUCCAGACUUAACCCCAGCUCCAACCCUAUCCCCAGCUCUUACCCUAACCCUAGUCCCAACCCUAACCCUACCUGUUACCCUAAUCGUAACUGUAACCCUAACCCUAACUCAAGACCUAACCCUAGCUUUAACCCUAAUCCUUGCUCCAGCCCUAACACAAACUCCAACCCUAGCCCCAGCUCUUACCUUAAUCCUAGUCCCAACCCUAACCCUAGCUGUAAACCUAACUCUAGCUCUAGCCAUAACCCAAGCUCCAACCCUAACCCUACCUUCAACCUCAACCCUAGCUAUAACACUAACCCCAGCUCCAACCCUAACCCUAGCUCCAGCCAUAACCCAAGCUCCAACCCUAACCCUAUCUCCCACCCUCGCCCUAGCUCCAGCCAUAACCCUCGCUCUAACCCUAAUCCUCCCUCUAACCCUAUCCCUCACUCUAACCCUAACCCAUGCUCCAACCCUAACCCUAGCUCCAGCCCUAACCUUACCUCCAUCUCUAACCCUAACCGUAGCUCUAGCCCUAUCUCUUCCUUCAACCCUAACCCUAGCUAUAACACUUACCCAAGCUCCAUCCCUAACCCAAGCUCUAUCCCUAACCGUAGCUGCAACCCUAACCCAAGGUGCAAACCUAACCCAAUCUCCAACCCUAAUGAUAGCUCCAACCCUAACCCUAGCUCUGACCCUAAGCCUUCGUCCAACCCUAACCUUAACCCUAUCCCUAAUCCUAGCUCUAUCCCUAACUCUUGCCUUAACUCUAACCUGAG
Molecule: long non-coding RNA, 1309 nt
Filed under: Scleropages formosus (Asian bonytongue)
Lineage: Eukaryota; Metazoa; Chordata; Actinopteri; Osteoglossiformes; Osteoglossidae
Description: lncRNA (ENSSFOG00015027633.1)
Source: RNAcentral